Molecule: transfer RNA, 76 nt
Filed under: Pseudomonadota bacterium
Lineage: Bacteria; Pseudomonadati; Pseudomonadota
Also listed under: 1 other name
Description: tRNA-Glu
Rfam family: tRNA
About the family: Transfer RNA (tRNA) molecules are approximately 80 nucleotides in length. Their secondary structure includes four short double-helical elements and three loops (D, anti-codon, and T loops).
Source: RNAcentral
GGCGCUAUCGUCUAGUGGCCUAGGACGCAUCCCUCUCACGGAUGAAACACGGGUUCGAUUCCCGUUAGCGCUACCA